GUGCUCACUUCAGCAGCACAUAUAUGAAAAUUGGAAUGAUACAGAGAAGAUUAGCAUAGCCCCUGAGCAAGGAUGACACUCUAAUUCAUGAAGUAUUCCAUAUUUUU
Small nuclear RNA from Otolemur garnettii (small-eared galago), 107 nucleotides. Lineage: Eukaryota; Metazoa; Chordata; Mammalia; Primates; Galagidae. The record is from Ensembl.